This 442-nucleotide ribosomal RNA is filed under the name uncultured bacterium. Its description in RNAcentral is "partial 16S ribosomal RNA". It matches the Rfam family "Bacterial small subunit ribosomal RNA", at positions 338 to 795 of the family's 1533-position model. The record is from RNAcentral.
CCUACGGGGGGCAGCAGUAGGGAAUCUUUCACAAUGGGCGAAAGCCUGAUGGAGCAACGCCGCGUGCAGGAUGAAGGCCUUCGGGUUGUAAACUGCUUUUAUAAGCGAGAAAUAUGAUGGUAACUUAUGAAUAAGGAUCGGCUAACUACGUGCCAGCAGCCGCGGUCAUACGUAGGAUCCGAGCAUUAUCCGGAGUGACUGGGUGUAAAGAGUUGCGUAGGUGGCAUAAUAAGUAGCUAGUGAAAUCUGGUGGCUCAACCAUUCAGACUAUUAGCUAAACUGUUAAGCUCGAGACCGUUAGGGGUAACUGGAAUUUCUAGUGUAGGAGUGAAAUGCGUAGAUAUUAGAAGGAACACCAAUAGCGUAGGCAGGUUACUGGGACGGUUCUGACACUAAGGCACGAAAGCGUAGGGAGCAAACGGGAUUAGAUACCCCAGUAGUC